GACAGAGGUGCCAAGCGUUAGGCGGAAUCACUGGGCUUAAAGCGUGUGUAGGCGGAAUGGUAAGUACCUUGUGAAAUCCCACGGCUCAACCGUGGAACUGCUUGGUAUACUGCUUUUCUUGAGCCACUUAGGGGCAACCGGAACAAACGGUGGAGCGGUGAAAUGCGUAGAUAUCGUUUGGAACGCCAAUGGUGAAAACAGGUUGCUGGGAGUGUGCUGACGCUGAGACACGAAAGCCAGGGGAGCAAACGGG
This 253-nucleotide ribosomal RNA is filed under the name uncultured bacterium. RNAcentral's name for it is "partial 16S ribosomal RNA". It matches the Rfam family "Bacterial small subunit ribosomal RNA", at positions 524 to 776 of the family's 1533-position model. The record is from RNAcentral.